UACGGGGGGGGCAAGCGUUGUUCGGAAUUACUGGGCGAAAAGGGCACGUAGGCGGCCCGGCAAGUCUCUCGUGAAAUCCCACAGCUCAACUGUGGAACUGCGUGAGAUACUGCCAGGCUUGAGUCCGGGAGAGGGGAGUGGAAUUCCCAGUGUAGCGGUGAAAUGCGUAGAGAUUGGGAAGAACAUCGGUGGCGAAAGCGCCUUGCUGGGCCUGCACUGACACUGAGGCACGAAAGCUAGGGGAGCGAAAGGG
RNAcentral lists this ribosomal RNA (253 nucleotides) under uncultured bacterium. RNAcentral describes it as "partial 16S ribosomal RNA". It matches the Rfam family "Bacterial small subunit ribosomal RNA", at positions 524 to 776 of the family's 1533-position model. The record is from RNAcentral.